RNAcentral lists this ribosomal RNA (254 nucleotides) under uncultured bacterium. RNAcentral describes it as "partial 16S ribosomal RNA". It matches the Rfam family "Bacterial small subunit ribosomal RNA", at positions 524 to 776 of the family's 1533-position model. The record is from RNAcentral.
UACAGAGGUCCCGAGCGUUGUUCGGAUUCACUGGGCGUAAAGGGUGCGCAGGUGGUUUGGCAAGUUUGAUGUGAAAGCCCUGGGCUUAACCCGGGAAUGGCAUUGAAUACUGCUUGAACUGGAGGGUUGGAGGGGGGACUGGAAUUCUUGGUGUAGCAGUGAAAUGCGUAGAUAUCAAGAGGAACACCAGUGGCGAAGGCGAGUCCCUGGACAAACCCUGACACUGAGGUACGAAAGCCAAGGGAGCAAACAGG